GCAAGCAAAUUUCCUCAUAACGUCCCGUCCCGUGCUGGAACAAACUGAGGCUCCUAACCAUUGUCCAGCCUCUGAGCCUGUGGGCUGCUGACCCUGAAGUGGGUCACACAGUG
Myodes glareolus (Bank vole) is the source of this 113-nucleotide non-coding RNA. The record is from RefSeq and is a predicted model, not a curated record. NCBI's taxonomy places the organism in Eukaryota, Metazoa, Chordata, Mammalia, Rodentia, Cricetidae.